UGAGGAAUUUUCCGCAAUGGGCGAAAGCCUGACGGAGCAAUACCGCGUGGAGGAGGAAGGCCCGUGGGUCGUAAACUCCUUUUCUCAGAGAAGAACACAAUGACGGUAUCUGAGGAAUAAGCAUCGGCUAACUCCGUGCCAGCAGCCGCGGUAAUACGGAGGAUGCAAGCGUUAUCCGGACUGAUUGGGUGUAAAGCAUCUGUAGGCGGUUUUGGAAGUCUACGGUUAAAUCCCAGAGCUUAACUUUGGUUCAGCCGUAGAGUACUUCAAAGCUUGAGUAUGGUAGGGGUAGAGGGAACUUCUCGUGGAGCGGUGAAAUGCACAGAGAUGAGAAGGAACACCAGUGGCGAAAGCGCUCUACUGGGCCAUGACUGACGCUGAGAGAUGACAGCUGAGGGAG
This 400-nucleotide ribosomal RNA is filed under the name uncultured bacterium. Its description in RNAcentral is "bacterial SSU rRNA". It matches the Rfam family "Bacterial small subunit ribosomal RNA", at positions 355 to 768 of the family's 1533-position model. The record is from RNAcentral.